GCUUAACGCGAAGAACCUUACCCAGGCUUGACAUCCUUGGAAGGCUUCCGAAAGGAAACUGUGCCCUCGGGAACCAAGUGACAGGUGAUGCAUGGCCGUCGUCAGCUCGUGUCGUGAGAUGUUUGGUUAAGUCCAUCAACGAGCGCAACCCUUUUAGUUGGUUGUAUUUCUCUAGCUAGACUGCCCUGGUAACAGGGAGGAAGGAGGGGAUGAUGUCAGGUCAGUAUUUCCCUUACGUCUGGGGCUACAAACACGCUACAAUGGCCGGUACAAAGGGCAGCCAAGUCGCGAGACGGAGCAAAUCCCAUCAAAGCCGGUCUCAGUUCGGAUAGCAGGCUGAAACUCGCCUGCUUGAAGCUGGAAUCGCUAGUAACGGUAGGUCAGCACACUACCGUGUAUACGUUCCCGGGUCUUGUACACACCG
Molecule: ribosomal RNA, 424 nt
Filed under: uncultured bacterium
Lineage: Bacteria
Description: bacterial SSU rRNA
Rfam family: Bacterial small subunit ribosomal RNA
Source: RNAcentral